ACAUAUGCCAAUUUGGUUCUUUCUUCUUUUUUUCCUUUUUUGCUUUAUUCAUCAACUCAAUAAAAUUACAGUUGCAAAUGGUCGAAGUUAUGGAACUUUCUUAGCAGAGAAUUGGUAAUUAAAUUAGUGGGAACUUCGUCUUUCUGGAGGUCCAAUAAAUAGCUGUGUCUCUACAUCCAUUGUCUGUCUCUGAAGAUGUUCUUCUUCUUGUCGAUCAAUAAAUAAAGGCAGCGGUCGGACCUCAUACUGAAAAAUAGAGAAUAUUUAGGUUUUGUUAAAUAGCAUUGAAAUAGUACUCAUAAAAAAAUGGAGACAAGUGAACACUACUAAAUAGAACAUUUUACAAUACAAACUGCAACUCCAUGAAGACGCAGAGUGUGAGAUGUAUAGGAUUUCACUACCCUGGCCAGAUGUCUCGGGUUUAAACUCUAGAAAUGAAAUAAUUCUGGCAGGGGUGCUACCCCUUUUAGGACCUUACCAUGGAGCGAAUUCAAAUAAAUCUGGACCUCUAGCUUGAGGGCACCGGACUCCACGUGGGAAACCAAAAAUAAAAUAAAAAUGCGUGAAGAUACUUACACAAAUUGUG
Molecule: long non-coding RNA, 586 nt
Filed under: Nicotiana tabacum (common tobacco)
Lineage: Eukaryota; Viridiplantae; Streptophyta; Magnoliopsida; Solanales; Solanaceae
Description: long non-coding RNA (NTAB_LNC004620)
Source: RNAcentral